CUUUAAAACACUGAGCUUCUCUCUCUCCUCUCCAUUUCCAUUUGUGUGUAUCCACGUCCCAGAAAUGCUUGUUACUAACCCAGCUCUGGGGAGUUAUUCCCCGGAGUCCUUAUGUUUUUUCCUCGCC
This is a long non-coding RNA of Etheostoma cragini (Arkansas darter), 127 nucleotides long. RefSeq lists it as uncharacterized. NCBI's taxonomy places the organism in Eukaryota, Metazoa, Chordata, Actinopteri, Perciformes, Percidae. The record is from RefSeq and is a predicted model, not a curated record. The transcript is spliced from 3 exons.